Long non-coding RNA from Oreochromis aureus, 581 nucleotides. The record is from Ensembl. Lineage: Eukaryota; Metazoa; Chordata; Actinopteri; Cichliformes; Cichlidae.
UUCGUUUCUGGUUUGCUUUGUUAGUUUUCCCAGUUUAGGUUUACCUGUUAGUGUCACUCGCCAUUUCUGUUUAUUUUACUGUUAAUAAAUUCUCACCUGCACUUGAGCUGCCGCUGCCUGGUCCUAAUUAAUUCCCACACGGCUUGCACCCGCAAACCGUGACACUUUGACUAAAUGCUUCCUCAUACACUGAUAAAAGCUAUUUUGGAGAGAGACCGCGCUUUUUGACUGAGCGGGGCAGCAAGCAAAUUCUGGGUCCUUUCUCCGGCUUCCAUCAAACCACAGAAGUGAAGAUCAUCGAAGAGUUCAGACGCAUCACCACAGUUUCCUUGGUGGAGACAUUCAUCCUGAAACUUGAUGAGUACACACCAGGUCUUUUGCAGCUUAUGCGUGCCAAAAGAGGAGCUGCUGGUUCCAAGAUGAGACCUUUGCUGGACACUUUGAAUGACGUAUGUUAUUUGACUUUUUUCACAAAUAUGUAAUUAUGGAGGGCUGCAUUGGGUAGCAAGACGGUCCUGGGUUCAAAUCCUGGCCCAGGGUCUUUAUUCAUGGAGUUUGCAUGUUCUCCCUGUGCAUGUGUG